RNAcentral lists this ribosomal RNA (497 nucleotides) under uncultured bacterium. Its description in RNAcentral is "partial 16S ribosomal RNA". It matches the Rfam family "Bacterial small subunit ribosomal RNA", at positions 28 to 507 of the family's 1533-position model. The record is from RNAcentral.
GAUGAACGCUGGCGGCGUGCCUAAUACAUGCCAGUCGAGCGAACAGACGAGGAGCUUGCUCCUCUGACGUUAGCGGCGGACGGGUGAGUAACACGUGGAUAACCUACCUAUAAGACUGGGAUAACUUCGGGAAACCGGAGUUAAUACCGGAUAAUAUAUUGAAGCGCAUGGUUCAAUAGUGAAAGACGGUUUUGCUGUCACUUAUAGAUGGAUCCGCGCCGCGUUAGCUAGUUGGUAAGGUAACGGCUUACCAAGGCGACGAUGCGUAGACGGCCUGGGAGGGUGGUCGGCCACAGUGGAACUGAGACACGGUCCAGACUCCUACGGGAGGCAGCAGUAGGGAAUCUGCCGCAAUGGGCGAAAGCCUGACGGAGCAACGCGGCGUGAGUGAUGAAGGUCUUCGGAUCGUGAAACUCUGUUAGUAGGGAAGAACAAAUGUGUAAGUAACUAUGCACGUCGUGACGGUACCUAAUGAGAAAGCCACGGCUAACUACGUG